This is a small nuclear RNA of Protopterus annectens (West African lungfish), 108 nucleotides long. Lineage: Eukaryota; Metazoa; Chordata; Ceratodontiformes; Protopteridae. The record is from RefSeq and is a predicted model, not a curated record.
GUUUGGCAGUUUGGCAGCACAUAUACUAAAAUUAGAAUGAUACAGAGAAGAUUAGCAUGGCCCCUGAGCAAGGAUGGCAUACAGAUUCAUGAAGGAUUCCAUACUUUU